CUGCAGCUUGCUGCGGGUACUCGAGUGGCGAACGGGUGAGUAACACGUGGGUGAUCUGCCUUGCACUUCGGGAUAAGCUUGGGAAACUGGGUCUAAUACCGGAUAGGACAGCUGUUUAGUGUCAGUUGUGGAAAGUUUUUUCGGUGCAAGAUGAGCUCGCGGCCUAUCAGCUUGUUGGUGGGGUAAUGGCCUACCAAGGCGUCGACGGGUAGCCGGCCUGAGAGGGUGUACGGCCACAUUGGGACUGAGAUACGGCCCAGACUCCUACGGGAGGCAGCAGUGGGGAAUAUUGCACAAUGGGCGGAAGCCUGAUGCAGCGACGCCGCGUGGGGGAUGAAGGCCUUCGGGUUGUAAACUCCUUUCGACAGGGACGAAGCGUAAGUGACGGUACCUGUAUAAGAAGCACCGGCUAACUACGUGCCAGCAGCCGCGGUAAUACGUAGGGUGCGAGCGUUGUCCGGAAUUACUGGGCGUAAAGAGCUCGUAGGUGGUUUGUCGCGUCGUCUGUGAAAUUCCGGGGCUUAACUCCGGGCGUGCAGGCGAUACGGGCUGACUUGAGUGCUGUAGGGGAGACUGGAAUUCCUGGUGUAGCGGUGAAAUGCGCAGAUAUCAGGAGGAACACCGAUGGCGAAGGCAGGUCUCUGGGCAGUAACUGACGCUGAGGAGCGAAAGCAUGGGUAGCGAACAGGAUUAGAUACCCUGGUAGUCCAUGCCGUAAACGGUGGGCGCUAGGUGUAGGGGGCUUCCACGUCUUCUGUGCCGUAGCUAACGCAUUAAGCGCCCCGCCUGGGGAGUACGCCGCAAGGC
RNAcentral lists this ribosomal RNA (807 nucleotides) under uncultured Actinomycetes bacterium. Its description in RNAcentral is "bacterial SSU rRNA". It matches the Rfam family "Bacterial small subunit ribosomal RNA", at positions 73 to 894 of the family's 1533-position model. Lineage: Bacteria; Bacillati; Actinomycetota; Actinomycetes. The record is from RNAcentral.